GCGUCGUCCAUAGGACGACGCAUGGGUGCUGGGAACUCGCCCAGCACCCACCGGCGAGGUCGAAUCGACCUCGCCGGGUCUGCAAAUUUAAUGCGUCGUCCAUAGGACGACGCAUGGGUGCUGGGAACUCGCCCAGCACCCACCGGCGAGGUCGAAUCGACCUCGCCUUCGACCUCGCCGGUUCUGGAAAUUUAAUGUGACGCAUGGGUGCUGGGAACUCGCCCAGCACCCACCGGCGAGGUCGAUUCGACCUCGCCGGUUCUGGAAAUUUAAUGCGUCGUCCAUAGGACGACGCAUGGGUGCUGGGAACUCGCCCAGCACCCACCGGCGAGGUCG
Molecule: long non-coding RNA, 336 nt
Filed under: Zostera marina
Lineage: Eukaryota; Viridiplantae; Streptophyta; Magnoliopsida; Alismatales; Zosteraceae
Description: long non-coding RNA (ZMAR_LNC004278)
Source: RNAcentral